CCUUAACACCGGGGAUGAACAACUUUUGUCACGUGACCGCAAAAGUCAACGCCGGUUGCAGAAACAGAUUGUAAUCUUGUACAUUAAGAAACAUGACGCUCGUGUGUGAAAUCUGUGGAAAGACAUUUAAAUCGAAGUGGGGGUUAAAGCUUCAUGAUAAGCGCCACAGAGGGACUGGACGAUUCGCCUGUUGUGGAAAAACAUUUUACACAAAACAGGCGUUCAACAGACACAGAUGCAGCAUUCAUGGUGUUGAAAAGCCGUUCCCCUGUGAACAAUGCGGCAAAAAGUUUUCAACCAAAGAUGACCUGAAUCGUCACGUCCGGAGGGAGGUUGCUGCAAAGCAAUUUACCUGCUCAAUUUGCAAUGCAACGCUCCGGGAGAAAAUUGACCUUCAGGCCCACCUUGCCACCCACAAUGGAGAGAAAAACUUUGCUUGUGAUAUGUGUGAAAAGAGGUACAGGCACCGCAGUAGUCUAUCAAAGCACAGAUCUGCAAAGCACCGGGCCUAGUCAUCUGUUGCAUGACGAUGAUAAGACCAAGAAUUAUUUUUAAUUCUUACCAAUGUGCCGUGGUUAUUUUCUUAAUUAUUGAAAAUACAGACUGUCAUACAAUAAUAUAUAGUAUUACGCGUGUUUUUGCGUCUUAAACAUUGUGUUUCAUAUCGUUUAUCUUGUGUUGUUUUGUUUGAUAUUCCUGUUUUUAAUAAGAUUAUUGUUGUAAUAUUUAUCAUUCUAAUUUAAAAUGAUUAUGAUAAUGGUUGAUCUCAUACAAAUUAUUGUGUUCAUUAUUGCUCAUCUGUGAUUACUGUUGAUCUCAGCCCAUGAAUUGUGAUUUAUAUUGAUUAUCUGUGAUUAUUGUUGAUCUUAUCAAAAUAAUUGUAAUUUAUGUUGAUUAUCUUUGAAUUUUUUAUCUUAACCUAUUAAUAGUGAUUUAUAUUAUCUGUGAUUAUUGUUGAUCUUAUCAAAAUCAUUGUGAUUUAUGUUGAUUAUCUGUGAUUAUUGUUGAUCUCAACCGAUUAAUUGUGAUUUAUAUAACCAGUGAUUAUUGUUGAUCUUAUCAAAAUCAUUGUAAUUUAUGUUGAUUAUCUGUGAUUAUUGUUGAUCUUUUCGAAAUCAUUGUAAUUUAUGUUGAUUAUCUGUGAUUAUUGUUGAUCUUUUCGAAAUCAUUGUAAUUUAUGUUGAUUAUCUGUGAUUAUUGUUGAUCUUUUCAAAAUCAUUGUAAUUUAUGUUGAUUAUCUGUGAUUAUUGUUGAUCUCACCAUAUCCGCUGGAAUAUACAUUUGAGCCGCGCUCUGUGAAAAGGGGGUUUAAUGCAUGUGCGUAAAGUGCAGUCCACAUAGGCUAAUCAGGGACGGCACUUUCCGCUUUUAUGAUAUGUUUUGUUAAAAGAAAGUCUCUUCUGAGCAAAAAUCGAGUUUAUCGGAAAGGUUUGUCCCUAAUUAGCCUGUACGGAAUGCACAGGCUAAUAUGUGACGACACCUUACGCACAUGCAUUAAACCCCCUUUUCACAGAGCGAGACUCAUUUGUAAUCUGCGAUUUUUGUUUAUCUAUUUCGAAUCAAUAUGAUUAAAAUAUAUUUUUGGUGAGUUAGCUUUUUGUCUCAUUGGAAUCAUUGUGCGAAUUGUCAACAAUUACAUGUAAAUCUGUAAUUCCUUCUCAAGUUGCACAUAGGCCAGUUUAAUGUUUUGCGUAUAAGCUAUUAUUGCGAUACGGGAUAUUCUUUGCAGCAAUAAAACAAUUAAUCUGCA
This is a long non-coding RNA of Dreissena polymorpha, 1750 nucleotides long. RefSeq lists it as uncharacterized. Lineage: Eukaryota; Metazoa; Mollusca; Bivalvia; Myida; Dreissenidae. The transcript is spliced from 3 exons. The record is from RefSeq and is a predicted model, not a curated record.